Long non-coding RNA from Oxyura jamaicensis (ruddy duck), 1780 nucleotides. RefSeq lists it as uncharacterized. Lineage: Eukaryota; Metazoa; Chordata; Aves; Anseriformes; Anatidae. The transcript is spliced from 2 exons. The record is from RefSeq and is a predicted model, not a curated record.
GUUCAGCAGGCCAUGAGGCCGCUUGGUGCAGCAGGCUCCAGGCUGCCCCACACUUGGAUGCCCCAAAAUCCCAUGCAGAAGAGGUGCUGGGGACCAGAGACGAAGCUGGUGCCAGUCUUACACCUCCCCAAAUGUUUGUCAAAGCCUAGCCCACGACUCCCCCUAAUGCAUCAACCCCUCUCAAUGUAUCGCAGCUGGAAAUGGUGGCUCGCAGCUGCUCUCUCCCUGACCCGGUAACAGGGCGUAAAUAAUUUAAGCCAAGCCAUUAUUAACAAAUCUGAUCUUCCUGCAGGUUAUUUGUGCUCAGCGAAUCUCACCCACUGGAAGCAGCUCUCUGGUGGGUCUGCCAGCAGUGCCAUCCAGCAGCCCAGUUUCCGUGAAAUAUCUUGAUGUGUAUCGAUUUACCCUCCUGAAUAAAUCUGCCCGAGGGGGAGUCACUUUCAAGAAGGGACGUGCAAUAUUUAUAACAUCUACGGGACCAGAGAGCUCAAAGCAGCGGGUGGAGGAGGCUAACCCGUUCUUAUCUGUAUUUCUGGAUAAGGAAAGAGUGAUGCAAAAGAAAGACGUGUAAAGCUGCUAACAAGGCACUGGGCAUUCAAAAUAAAAUAAAUAAAAAAUAGGAGAGGGGGUGCUUGCUGAUGCUGGCUUGCAGCGUGGGGAAUCAGAGGCCUCAUGCACACCAAGAGCAACCGCUGGGCAUUCACUGAAGAGAAGCCAUCUGUUCCCCGGGCCUUGCAAGACGGCGUGAAAUUCUCUCUUGAUUCUGGUUUUGGUUUCCUUCCUGUCCUGUCCUGAGCGCUGCCCCUGUGCCGGCAGCUCCCACAGAGCCCGGGGAGGGCACGUGGAGGCAGGGGAGCUGGAGGAUGGCUGAGGACCACAUGAGCAAUGCAGAAACAGCUGAGGGCCUUUGCUGACCUUCUGCCCUUUACUUGACUGCCUGUUCCUUUAAAACAAAUUUACUGAUGGGUUUUCUUUAUUUUAUUUUUUUUUCUGCCGCCAUCCCCAUGAGGCGUUCUUUCCUAUGAGUCAUGCACACCAUAAAGAAAUUACUGUUUGGCUCAAAGUUACGCUCCCAUGCCUGGAAUCAACAUUUUUUCAGUGAGAGAUAGGAAAUGAGCUGAAUUUGUGGGUGAUUCAUUAUUUACUAUUUUGACCUGAAAAGUGCUUUUACCAUUAGAUUUAAAAGAAAAGAAAAUCAUACAACAAGAUUCCUGAAACACGAAACCAAAGCUAUACGUGACUGAAGACACUGAACAUGUCCUUUAAGGGCUUAUUUAUGCCAUGUACAGAAAUGAUCCCUUUUAUCUUUUGAGGCUGAUUGUAGAUUUCAUCAGGAUUAUUAAUGUUACUAGUUUCACUUCAGAAUUAUAUUUUACUGAUAUAAAACACCCUUCAAGAGCAUAUUUCCUCAUAUGGCUAAGAAAUACGGUGCUAUUUAUGCAUUUAUAUUCUUUUAUUUGAGCACAAUAUGACAUAAUGAGACAUUUUUAACCCCCUGUAUAGCCUGGAAGUAAACAUCAUACAUACACCUACAGAGAAGUCCUGGGCACUAAGGCCCAUCCAAGCUCAGAAAUCCAGAUUUGGAAUAAAGUGGAAUUCCAGAUGACAAAAGAGCAAAUCGGAGCAAAACCCAGCAACCCAAGUCUGAUGCAACAGUCAGCGGCGGAGCCCCAGCAGUGACUUCCAUCAGCGACAGCUGAAAGGAAUUGUGGAAAAAAAUGCAAAAAGGUUGAGAACUGAAGGAACACAGAGGCCUUUCUUGCUAGUGGGAUUUUAAAGA